Small nuclear RNA from Phyllostomus hastatus (greater spear-nosed bat), 162 nucleotides. RefSeq annotates it as U1 spliceosomal RNA. Lineage: Eukaryota; Metazoa; Chordata; Mammalia; Chiroptera; Phyllostomidae. The transcript has a single exon. The record is from RefSeq and is a predicted model, not a curated record.
AUACUUACCUGUCAGGGAAGAUAUUAUGAUCACAAGGCGGUUUUCCCAGGGCAAGACCUAUCCUUUGCACUCCAGAUGUGCUGACCCCUGGGAUUUCCCCAAAUGAGGGAGACUUGACUGCAUAAUCUGUGUGGUGUGGGACUGCGCUUGUGCUGUCCCUUU